AUGGAUUACUGGUGUUUUUAUAGAGUUUGUAGUACCAUCACAAUCAAAGUUCAUAAUGACAUAAUCUCUGUUCGUGCUCCGUUCAAAAAAAGAUACACAAGUACAUUGCGGCCAAAGUAUUACAAACUGACAAACAUAAUAAGCCACCUCGCUAGAACAGAGCAUCUCAGAUGGCUCUACUCCUGUUGCUUUUCCUUGCAUCUCAGAUGGCUCUACUCCUGUUGCUUUUCCUUGCGCAGGAGGCUGUUGACGGAGCACGCAGUGACGCAGGUGGCCAUGGUAGCGACACACGCAGUGGCAGUCUUCGAACUGAUGGUCGCGACGAACUCGGGCACCCUGAAGCCAUGUGGUUGGACUGAGCAUGGCGCUGAAGUUGAGUAG
This 381-nucleotide ribosomal RNA is filed under the name Triticum aestivum (bread wheat). Its description in RNAcentral is "partial small subunit ribosomal RNA". The record is from RNAcentral. Lineage: Eukaryota; Viridiplantae; Streptophyta; Magnoliopsida; Poales; Poaceae.